RNAcentral lists this transfer RNA (72 nucleotides) under Bos taurus (domestic cattle). It matches the Rfam family "tRNA". From Rfam's summary of the family: Transfer RNA (tRNA) molecules are approximately 80 nucleotides in length. RNAcentral also lists the same sequence under 4 other names. Lineage: Eukaryota; Metazoa; Chordata; Mammalia; Artiodactyla; Bovidae. The record is from Rfam by way of RNAcentral.
UCCCUUUUGGCUCAGUUGGUAAAGAAUCUGCCUGCAAAGCGGGAGACCUGGGUUCAAUCCCUGGGUUGGGAA